Molecule: long non-coding RNA, 5671 nt
Organism: Spinacia oleracea (spinach)
Lineage: Eukaryota; Viridiplantae; Streptophyta; Magnoliopsida; Caryophyllales; Amaranthaceae
Exons: 3
Source: RefSeq, a predicted model, not a curated record
GGGCCUGGUGUAGGGUUAUGAUACAUAUGAACAACAUAAAUCAUGCGGAAAAACCUCUAUGCCAGGAUUCAAAUUAAUUGCACAUAAUCAAGUAAUUAGUCUAGAAUGCAUACACUUUGUAGCGUGCCCUCCCAAGCUGCGCCCGAACCGAACAAGAACAAGUCUUUAGGACUCCAAGUGUCGUACCUCCGUAGAAAGUCCACAAAACGUCCAGAUCCGCCUUAAGAUUGACCAACUAGAAUCGCCCUUAAGGUACUAGGAAUUUUCGGCUAAUAUGGGCAACAAUAUGACUGAAUUUUGCUCUCAAAAUGUCACUCUGAAUACUUAAAAAACUAGUCCAUAAAUUGUGAACCUAGGCACAUAUUUAUAGGGGUAUGGAAAGGGAAUUGGAAUCCUAUUAGGAUACUAAUUAGCUUAAUUAGAAUUUGAUUAAAAACUCUUUUAAACUAAUUCUAUCUAUUAGGAUUAGGAAUUAAUCAUUGAACGAAUCCCAUUAGAUUUAGGAUUUGUAUCGAACACAAACGUACACGCACACCCUUGCGAGCGCUCAACCCACGCAGGCCUUGCGGCCCACAUGUGCCUCGCAGCCCACGCGAGCGCAGCUCGCUGCCCCAUUGCGCGCGCGCCUUGGCCUGCUAGUCCUGGCCUUGCGCUGGGCCUGGCGUGGCCUUGGCUGUUAGGUUAUGAUACAUAUGACAAUUCAUAAAUCAUGCGGAAAAACCAUAAAGCCAGGAAAGCAUAUUAUUUACACAUAAUCAUUUAGCAUAGAAUAGAUGCAUACAUGUUGUAGCGUGCCUUCCCUAGCUGCGCCCGAACCGAACAAGAACAAGUCUUUAGGACUCCAAAUGUCGUCCCUCCGUAGAUAGUCCACAGUACGUCCGGAUCCGCCUCAAGUUAGACCAACUAGAAUCGCCCUUAAGGUGCUUAGGAAUUUCGGCUAGUGUUUGCAAGUGUAUGGCUGAUUUUUAUUUCAAAAACUUACCCUUUGAAUACUUCAAUCGUACCCAUAAAUUGUGACCCUAGGCACCUAUUUAUAGGAGUAUGGAAAAGGAAUUGUAAUCCUACUAGAAUGUGGAUUUGCUAGUUAGAACUUUAUUAGGACUCUAAAUAACAAAAAAAAAAAAUCUAAUAGGAUUAGGAUUUUAAUCUUUGCACAAAUCCUAAUAGGAUUAGGAUUUCCCGCACAAGCAUUGCACAAGCCGUGCACCCGCGCAAGCCUUGCGGCCCACGACAGGCGCACAGCCCACGCUGCUGUGCUGCGCGCGCGCGCCCUUGGCUGGGCCUGGCCUUGCGCUGGGCCUGGUCGAGGCGUGCGUUGGUGCGUGCGGCUCGCUGGGCGAUGGCCUGGCUUCGUGCUGGGCCUUCGUCUAGCGGGCCUCGUCCGAUGCUAAUACGUACGAUACGCUUCCGAUUAAAUUCCCGAUUCCGGAAUUCAUUUCCGAUACGAACAAUAUUUAAUAUUUCCGAUUCCGGAAUUAAUUUCCGUUUCGAACAAAUAUUUAAUAUUUCCGUUUCCGGAAUUAUUUUCUGAUUCCGAUAAUAUUUCCGAUUCUGACAAUAUUUCCGUUUCCGGCAAUAUUUCCGAUUCCGGCAAUAUUUCCAUUUCCGAUAAUAUUUUCCGAUACGUACCAUGUUUCCGUUUCCGGCAACAUCUACGACUUGAAUAAUAUUUAUAUUUCCGAUACGAUCCAUAUUUCCGUUUCCGGCAAUAUCAUCGUUUCCGGAGUAUUCAUUUCUUGCUUGUGACGAUCUCAGCUCCCACUGAAACCAAGAUCAGUCGAUUCCGAAUAUCCAUAGAUAGAGUAUUUAAUGCCAUUAAAUACUUGAUCCGUUUACGUACUAUUUGUGUGACCCUACGGGUUCAGUCAAGAGUAAGCUGUGGAUUAAUCAUUAAUUCCACUUGAACUGAAGCGGCCUCUAGCUAGGCAUUCAGCUCACUUGAUCUCACUGAAUUAUUAACUUGGUAAUUAAUACUGAACCGCAUUUAUUAGACUUAACUUAGAAUGCAUACUUGGACCAAGGGCAUUAUUUCCUUCAUUGGCUGCGUUGUGUUGGCGCGCAGGCUUGCUGGACGCGGGCCUGGCUUCGUGCUGGGCCUUCGUCCAGCAAGUCUCGUCCGAUGCUAAUUCGUACGACGCGCUUCCGAUUAAUUUCCCGAUUCCGGAAUUCAUUUCCGAUACGAACAAUAUUUAACAUUUCCGAUUCCAAAAUUAUUUUCCGUUUCGAACAAAUAUUUAAUAUUUCCGUUUCCGGAAUUAUUUUCCGAUUCCAAUAAUAUUUCCGAUUCUGACAAUAUUUCCGUUUCCGGCAAUAUUUCAGAUUCCGCCAAUAUUUCCAUUUCCGAUAAUAUUUUCCGAUACGUGCCAUGUUUCCGUUUCCGGCAACAUCUACGACUUGGACAAUAUUUAUAUUUCCGAUACGAUCCAUAUUUCCGUUUCCGGAGUAUUCAUUGUUUGCCUUUGACGAUCUCAGCUCCCAUUGAAACCAAGAUCCACUACUACAAAACCCAUAGGUUGUAGACGCUGUUAGCUCGACGCCCAGGUGUAAGCUUUGGGUGGGAAAUCAAUUCCCGCUUUUUGUCGACGCCUAUAGGCUAUAGUAGUCGAGGAUUUUGUAGACAACAUUUGUCGUCGAUAGGGCACGUGCCUUGCACGUGUACUCAGUUUAGCAGGAAUUUAAUAAGAGCCCAAACUUAUCCAUCGUCCCAAGUGCUCCCUACCCUCGCAAUUCGCAAACUCCUAAAACAGUUUCACCGAAAUUAUUCUCUCUCUUGCCUCACCGUUCUCUUUCUUUCACGCUUCACAAUUGAGAACUGCUAAGAUGAAAAGCUCGAUGAAAAUCUUGAAAAGUUGCAGAUAUGAGAAGGGUCUCUUCUGUUUCAGUUUUUUCUCUUUGGUUUCAGUUUUUCGGUAUGUGUACCGAUUUAUUCAAUUAUUAUUACUAUCUUCUUUCAGAUUUUUAUUUUUCCAUCUUUAGGGUUUUUAUAUGAGGAUUUCAUGUCUAGGCUUUGGCUACCUGGUUAAGAGAGAAAAGUUGAACUUGUUGAGCUGCUCAGGACGAGGUUCUCUUUACUCGAUCCCUUAUUCCAGUGUUCUACUGAACUUAGAUACUUUGAUGAUGUUAGCUUGUUAGGUCUUUAUUCAAGUGCUUUUUUUUUUAUCAAAUAGUGGUUUUUGCAUAAAACUAAAUAUUACUUGCAUUGUGAUGUCAGAUUUAUCUGAUUAAUAUAUGUGGUGGUAGAUUUCCUUAUUGUGAGAUUGUCAAAUUUACUUGUACUCAUCAAUUAAACUUCGUAUAAUCUGGGCAACUCUUGUUUGGUUUCUUAUUCCUGAUGACUUAAGCUCAUGUUCUAUUUUAAGAGGGUUGACAAGUUUAUGGAGGACAUAAAUAGCAUAAGAUGUUUGAGACAGAACAUUUACAAAUCUUCACUACAGUUGGCCUAUUUUGUAAGAUUUUUGUGUCGUCAUAUAAAGACCACUGGACAGAAUAUGCUAAAAGUAGCAGCAUAUUGUAGGUAAUUAAAUGCCUGUUUAAGAAGAGUCUAGUGGCAGCUUCAAGUCAUCCUUGGUACCUCAACUCUCAGUCAGCAGGCUGAUCUAAAAUUUUAUUUGGCUUAGACAGACAACCAAAGAAUAAAAUCUCAAGUCAAGAAAAACCACAUUAGACAUUUUUGUAAUUAAAAAACCAUCAUCAGCUAUGUCAAUGAGUUAAUCACUACGAUUGACAUCGAGAACCUGAAUACCAAAGCUAAAAUAUAUAAAAGUUCAAGGAAAGGACAUAAUGAAGAAGAAGAAAUGAAAAAACCGAUAAGGGGGUGAACAUUACAAUCUAUUCUUAGGAGUAUCCAGAGUUUUUAUAGUGUUGUUUGUAAGACAAGACUUUCUAAGUUGUCAUCAAACUUAAAAACAACUCAUGCCAGCAUAAGAGGUCAAAAACACACCGAAACACAUGAGGUGAUGGUGGAUAACCGAGAAAUUGAUUGUAGCUUAGAGGUAGUGGAUUCACAGGUAUAUUCUAGAAUGAACAUAUAUUUACACGGUGUAGUAAUGGAUGUUGUUUCUACAAGAAACUGAUUAUGGUUUCUUAGCUAUUAUUUAGAAAAUAUGACUUAUUAAGUAUCAUACUUGUUUAUUCUGUACCUUUUAUUUAAAUCAACGAAAAUGAUAAAGGUCGCAACAUGCGACCUUUAAGCCGUGUCACAAUGAUGACAUGGCAUGCUUAUGUGUCAUGAUUUAAAUUGGAAACUAAAAUAUUUAACUUAUAUAAUCUAUCAUAUAUGUUUCAAAAAAAGGUAGGAAAAUCUUAAUAUUAUUAUUCUUUUCCUUCUUUACAUUGAUUACCUUGUUUAAGUAUUUUUAUAGUAAAAAUAUUGAAUUGAUAGUAAAAAUAUUCUAAUGACGCAUAGCCUACGUGGCGCCUAUAUGGCUAUAUGUACCAACUAAACUGCGACACGUAAGAUUGCGACAACUAAAUGUUGUCGCAACUUGCGACCUUUAUCAUCACCCUUAAAUCAAAACCACCUAAUAUGUUGGAUGAUCUAUGUAGCUUGUUUCUUUUCAAAAUGGACAAGUACUACAAAUCUGUUAAGUCUCGUCAUUUUCCCUCAAAAGCUGAGAUUAAUUUCUAAGCAAACUGGUGCAGGAUUAAUGAGAUCAUUUUGGUAUAUCGUGCAUAUGAUUGAGUUUAUGACAAUUGCGUUUCAUACUCGGCAAUUCUGAUGUCAUUUUUCUAUCGAUGUGCUUUUAUGGUCAGAUGUUGGGAUAUUUAUUACUUAAGGUUAUCUAGAUAUAUAAUAUUCUGAUGUCGUGCUUUGCUUCCGUUCAGGUGAGGUGCUUUUUAGUUAGGUGUAUCUGUUGUGAACCAUUUUGGCUUAGUUCUGUUUCUCAUGUACUAUUUCUAAGGAUCAACUUAGUUCUAAUCUCAUGCAGGAUCUGAUCUUCUACCAUGAAGUGAUGAAACCUAAUUUUAGUAUCUCAUCGGAAUUUUUGAAACAUGUAGCGAUGUUCCCUUGGAAUGAAUGCACUGAAAUUCCGAGUAGCAUAAAUGAACAACCAAGUCAAGACCUCUGUUUGCAUUUGGAUUUUGCACAGUUUAUUUUUAUCUAUCGCAGCGGGUUUGUUGCAAUAUAAGUUUUAUGUCCUAUCUCUUUAAUUUUAUGUUCCACUACUUCCAAUGUGAUUGUGGCUCUGGUUUCCAUUGUGCGCUCUAUCAUGUGCAAUGCUUUUUUAGUUUUAUUAUGGUAUGGAGUAUGCUUUAUUAGAAUUUUGUUUGAGUUGUAGUUUGUAUAACAUAUUUAAUGAAAUCAUACACUGCUAGCUUAAAAGUCCAUCUUCCUCUUUUUUAACUUCUUGUUUGUUUUAUCCGUACUAAUUACCUUUUACUUUUAUUGAAGGUCCAAUCUGGUAAUGGAGCUCACAGGAGAACAAAAGUAGAUCGUAAUAUUUAAAUUGCCUCAACUGUUAAGAAGUUGUAUUAGCUUUUUAGAUAUGUACAUGGUUGAUAUGGAGAAGUCUACACUUAUUAGUUUUGCUUUUAUGCUUACUCUACUGUACAAAUGGUUGAUAUGGAUAAAAAAUACAAUAUGGAUUUUGGUUAGUAACAGGUAGGUAUUAUAGAUUUUAAGUACUUGAGUUAAUUUUAAUGUUGAUGAAGACCAAUUUUUAAAAAUUCA